GACGAACGCUGGCGGCGUGCUUAACACAUGCAAGUCGAACGGAAAGGCCCUGCUUUUGUGGGGUGCUCGAGUGGCGAAAGGGGGAGUAACACGUGAGUAACCUGCCCCUGACAUUGGGAUAACUUCAGGAAACUGGGGAGAAUACCGGAUAGGAGCUCCGGCGGCACGGGGGGGGUUGGAAAGAUUCGGCGGUUGGGGAUGGACGCGCGGCCUAUCGGCUUGUUGGUGGGGUAGUGGGGUACCAAGGCUUUGACGGGUAGCCGGCCUGAGAGGGUGACCGGCCACAUUGGGACUGGGAUACCGCCCAGACUCCUUCGGGAGGCAGCAGUGGGGCAUAUUGCACAAUGGGCGGAAUCCUGAUGCAGCAACGCCGCGUGCGGGAUGACGGCCUUCGGGUUGUAACCCGCUUUCGCCUGUGACGAAGCGUGAGUGACGGUAAUGGGUCAAGAAGCACCGGCUAACUACGUG
This 468-nucleotide ribosomal RNA is filed under the name uncultured bacterium. RNAcentral describes it as "partial 16S ribosomal RNA". It matches the Rfam family "Bacterial small subunit ribosomal RNA", at positions 28 to 507 of the family's 1533-position model. The record is from RNAcentral.